AAGCAAGCGUGUAUGUGAACUACCGGAAUUAUGUCGUAGACACGUCGUCGCAAAAACAUCUUCUGAAAUAUUUAAUUUUGGAAUGGUGUUUCUUCUAAGAAGAAAAUAUACAUAUAGUAUAGCGACACUCCAUUUCACGAAUUGUUGUUGCAAAGUGACCAAUACCAAGUUCACCAGGACGGAACCCAAACCUUGUUACAUGCUGGAGCUGUGGAGCUGACCCGAGUCUAUUAAACCAGUUGUCUCAGGUCAAAUCUACCGAUCCAUCAAUAAGUGCGAAGUCGAUGUACAAUUAUUGUCAGCGGAACACGAUGUGUAUUAAAUUGCCGGAACACAAGAUGAUAUCAAUAGCCGGAUAUAUGUGGUCUUAAUUCUACAAAUAAUCGCGCGCGGAUAUUUAUUAGGAUUUACGUCACUGGAUCGACGGAAUUGAAUCAAAUUUGCCAAAUGUGUUUCUUAUACAACGAACAAGUAAUUCUCAACAAUAUUACAUACUUAAAUAUAAUUAGGCCUAAGCAUUAUAUUAUACCUAUAUAUAUAUUAUAUUAUAUUAUAUUAUAUAAAACUAGAAUCUUUUAUUCAAUUUACAUUACGUUCAUAUAGUUUUGAUGUAACAUUUCCGAGUAAGAAAUAAAAGUAAAC
RNAcentral lists this long non-coding RNA (642 nucleotides) under Anneissia japonica. Its description in RNAcentral is "uncharacterized LOC117118540". Lineage: Eukaryota; Metazoa; Echinodermata; Crinoidea; Comatulida; Comatulidae. The record is from RNAcentral.